GGCCUACAAGCCUCGCAAGCCCACAGAAAAAGCUGGGCUUGGGCCGAACUUGCUUGGGCCUCGCUGGAUUGGGCUUCGCAACUGGGCUUCGGGUUGCUGGGCCUCUUGGUCUUGUGGGCUGAAAACAGAAGAUGGGCUGCACUUGCGGACUCGGGCCUCAAAUUGAUCAACUGCUUGGCUGAGCUGUUACUUGGGCUUUUCUGAUUUGAAGAUGGGCCCAAAAUUCACGCGAACUGAAUCGACGGACUGAACUAAUGUUGGGCUGCAGUUUGAAUGGGCCGAAGACGCUGGAAAUUACGGGCUUCGCUGGCGUGCGACUUCGCUUGACUCGGUGGCUGGGCGCAUGGACUUUAGUUGACCGAAGACACACGCAAGAGGAGAAAUGGGCGGACUGACUGCUGCAGGCUUCGCUGGCUUCAAUUGGCGUGGCAAAGAGGAGAAGCAGCUUCGCUCGGUGGUCUUCAACUCGGCUUUGUUGACCGAACAAAGAGCUGACGCUGCUAAGUGGCAGCAAGGCAAGGCUGCUCAGUCAACCAAAGGCUUCGCUUGUUGCUGUUGUUGAC
Molecule: long non-coding RNA, 563 nt
Filed under: Eucalyptus grandis
Lineage: Eukaryota; Viridiplantae; Streptophyta; Magnoliopsida; Myrtales; Myrtaceae
Description: long non-coding RNA (EGRA_LNC003726)
Source: RNAcentral